This 312-nucleotide unclassified non-coding RNA is filed under the name plant metagenome. RNAcentral's name for it is "partial contains 5.8S ribosomal RNA, internal transcribed spacer 2, and large subunit ribosomal RNA". The stretch from base 1 to 105 matches the Rfam family "5.8S ribosomal RNA", at positions 50 to 154 of the family's 154-position model. The record is from RNAcentral.
GAAAUGCGAUAAGUAAUGUGAAUUGCAGAAUUCCGUGAAUCAUCGAAUCUUUGAACGCACAUUGCGCCCUCUGGCAUUCCGGGGGGCAUGCCUGUCCGAGCGUCAUUACGCACCCUCAAGCCCGGCUUGUGUGAUGGGCCCCGGCGUCUCGUUCGCGAGACGGGCCCGAAAGGCAGCGGCGGCGUCGACCCGAUGAGCCCGAGCGUAUGGCGACUUCUGUCACACGUUCGCGGUGCGGACCGGCGCCUGCUUGACUUUUCUGAUUAUCCAGGUUGACCUCGGAUCAGGUAGGGAUACCCGCUGAACUUAAGC